GCUCCCGAAAAGCAGCCACACUGAGCUGCAGAAAAAGUUUGCAAUUUCUAAGAUCUCUGAACUUCACGAGUGCAGCCUAGCCUACAGGUCAUUAGUUCAGUCUUGAGGCUAAGUUUUGAACUACCUAUGACCAGAUGGUUAACAGAGCAAACAGCUAGAGGCCAAAAGGAAUUCUGUCUGCUAACUGCACCCAGACUGCAGAGUGGGCUGUCACUGAAUUGCAGCAUCCCGAGACAGUAUUCCAUAAUCAAAAAUCAAAUCAGGUCUUACUAACUACAGCAUCUCCCAAUGACGGCGGUCAACAUGAUUUGUAUGUGACCUUCACUUUAAUUUCCUGUGCAGUUUCUACCCAAAGCAAGGGGCUAUAAAAAGUGUGAUGUAAAGACGUUUAGCCAUUAUUUGAAAAAGUCUUCUUUUUUCUAAGUGAAAAAUGUCACUGCAUUGAAUUUAUUCUAAUGGGUUAGAUCCCACUUAUAAUUGGCAAAAGUUGGAGAACAUGAGACGUACAAAGGGGUGGUUUUCAACCUUUAAGUUACACAGAAUUACCAAUGCUCUAGGUUCUCUAUAAUUUUUCCCUGUUGAAAAAAAAAGUAUUUGUGAAUGGUACUCAUGUAAGACAUGCACAUUGUCUUUGAAAGGUAUCCCAGCUAAAUGGGAAAACGUUAGGCAAGCAUUUAUAAUUGAACAACUCAUAGACAAUGAGGCUCUCCACAAAACCCUUCCUUUCAGCACUCCCUUUUGGCUUCUUCCUAUGAGUUCUCUAAAACAGGCAGCUAAUGAACUAGAUACUUCAGGGCUUGGCUUCGUUCUUCCUGUGGUUUUGCAUCUUGCUAUAUUUCAAAUUUUUCGUUCGUUGGAGGAAACUAUUGCAGAAAACCACUGGUGUGUUCUCAAAUCAGCACAGGCCAAUGUCAAGGAAAACUGGGGAUUUGUCUCUCCAAACUUCUUCCCACUGAUCCUAGACGGUAAACGAUGGCGCUUGUCAUCUUUAGCUUUUGCUUCUUGGUCCACAGAUUCCCUGUCCCAAAUGUGUCCCUUUGUCAGGACAGUUUCGUCCUGCUGGCUACCGUGUUACAUCUGGUGGAAGCCAGAAUCCCCUACUCUACCACCCCCCUCCCCAGAAGGCCAACCCUGGCACCUCAGAAUAAUUUCAGACGGCUGCGAUUCAAAGGGUCUGCACUCUGCUAACAGGAAGCACCAACAUGAGCGAAGCCUGAAGUUUCACUGGAGUGUGCACCGUGCACAUCAGGCCUGGUGAUGGGAAUGGAAGCUCCAAGGGCCUCCUGCUUCCCACUCCGUUUCUGAUCUCUCAGUCAGCCCUCCUGGUUGAUGACCCCAGUGUUGUCAGCACAACAGGUGUAGCUUUAUCUUGUCUAGCAUAAUUAAUAACUUUAAAAAGUGCUUUCGGGAUGUGAAAAGGUAACUGUACGUGUUUGAUAAGCCAAUGUUCCUGUCUCGUGCUAAACUCUGCAUGCAGACUGGUUAACCGGAAUAACCAGCCAUCAGUGGACGGACCAUGAAACAGUAUUUAGAACAGAUGUAUUUCCAAAAAGCAUCUACCAAGAAUACCUUCUUGAAUAUUUGCCUUUAGUGUGUCUUAUUACACAGAAGAGCAGUGGGGUCUACUUAUUGGCAAUUUCUCUGUUUGUGCAGAUACAUACUCAUUCUAUCCAAAAGCGUAACGAACAGUUCCUGUGACGUCAGCAUUCUAGAUUUAGAGUUAAGGAGUAGCCACAUAGAUUCGUUCGUGAUUUCUUUAGACUGUAGCCAUACUCUAAGCUAUGAAGUGGGACCUGACACCCGUAUGUGACAAGUGUUUGCUGUCCAACUCGUUUUCUCUGCAUGUCCCUAAGAAUACACUACAUAUACAGUGACCACGUGUUUCGUGUCCUUUUAAGUAAGUAGGUUCAAAAGCACUUACUAAAAUGCCAUUAAGCAUGAUUGUGAUUUUAUGUACAUCAUAUAUAUAUGAAUAUAAAUAUCAGUGUAAACCUGUGCUCAGUAUGUAAGAGUAUGAAUAUAUUUUUAACUGUGCUAAUAUGUAUGUUGGGAAGACUUGCCAUAACAUGAUUACGGUAGUUCAUUUCUCAUGACCUCCGUGAGAAACAGAAGCUCUCCUAACUCAUACUGUAUAUAUUCUGAGGGGCACAAAGCUUACGAUAACCCUGAUGAUCACCAUACUUAUAGCCAUGACAAGGCAAUGUCUACGGUCCUUUGUAUUGAAACCCACAGCACUGCUGCCUAAGAAGGCAUUACUUUUGGGGUGAUACUUUGAUAAAAAAAAGUAUAAGAUUUGGGAGCUUUUCUCCAGGGUCUCUAGUUAGAAUGGUGUUAUUUGGGAAUUGUUGAGCUGACGCUUUAAAAAAAAAAAAAAAGGUUAAAUGAGAUCUCUUUAGUAAAGGUUAAAAGAAUACAGAGUCAGCAAAACUAUUAAAGCAUGAGGGGGACAGGAUACUCAAUUCCUUGCAGGUAUCUACUCUGUCAGGUAAACCUUGUACAUUUGGAAAACAGUACAAUUACAUCGAUGGGACUCUCUGUAGGAUGAGUGGCAAAACCUAAACAGACCUCCUAACUGUCUUAAUCCAGCAAGAGGUGACUGCAUGUAAGACAGAAGCAUGAGCGCUAUCACUUCACCUCGCACUAACCUGUGGACUAGAGUUCCUGUGAGUGAAGCCAAUUUUAGAGAAAUAACGGAUAGUUCGCCAGAUCCUUUAGUCUUUUCUAAAGAACUCAGCUUGUCUCCUAGAUAACAAUAGGUCGUCUGUCUAGCUGAUGUGUUUAAAAUUACGUGGUGCUCUGUGUGUGAAAUUUUAACAAUAUUUUUGAAGCAUAUAUAGUAUAUGCAUCGCUAGUUGUGUAUAUAUGCAUACAUGUAAUAAUAUCUGUAUGUGUGGAGAGCAAGAGACAGGAACCUCAGAGAACCUCCUGUUUAAGGCCUGUCAGCACUGGUACACUGGUGAGACUCCUCUUUCCACUGCUCAAGGACUACAUGUGGCUCAACUCAAGGCAUUCAUUUCCUUAUAACUUUUACCUUUAAGUCCCUUAAACUUUAACUCAUAAUGUUUUCGAUUUAUACAAAAACCACUCCCGUCUUGUACUGACCGCUGCCAAUCUGUGAAAACACCUCACAAACCAGAAACCCUACCACCAUAGCCCUGUGUGUUUGAUUUCAUAUACGCACUGCUUUUGUUCCAUGGGCUUGUACGUGUUCCUCCUCUCUCCCCGUUCUGAGUCAAACUUCAUUUCGCUUUCGUGUGAAUGACUGAGUACAUAGAAGUCAAACCUUGUUUUCUCCGUUGAUUCUUUAACAUGAACCAGAAUACUUCCCACUGUCGUUUUUACCACUUUGGGGAUUUCUUAAUGCUGGAUUAAUAUGGAUUCUGUGAAUGGGAUUUUUUUGAAGCAAAUUCCUAAAAGCCUGUAUCAUCCUUGAAGGUCAUGUACCUAUUGUGAAAAAAAAAAUGUGAAACUGUAUUUCUGAACCUGAAAUAAAUGAUUACAUUUGAAGGAACCCCCAAUUCCUCAUCCUUGU
This 3532-nucleotide long non-coding RNA is filed under the name Rattus norvegicus (Norway rat). RNAcentral describes it as "long non-coding RNA NONRATT008879". The record is from RNAcentral. Lineage: Eukaryota; Metazoa; Chordata; Mammalia; Rodentia; Muridae.